CAUGCUGUCAUUACAUCACUGUGUGUUUCCUUACUGGCUUCUCUUCCUGCUAACAGGUGUGAUCUGUGAGGAGCUCACAGCACUCGACACUCAGAAAUCCAGUUUAGAAGGAAGCACUGUGACUCUGUCCUAUAAAUACUCCAGACAAGCAGCUCCUGGUGAUUAUUUCUUCUGGUAUCGACAAUAUCCUGGAAAACCUCCAGAGUUCCUGAUCUCUCACUCAGACAAAGGACAGCUGACAUCAGAUCCAGUCAUUAGACUGUCUGUGAACGUGAACAAUGAUCAAACACUGAUGACUCUUCAGAUCUCCUCUGCUGCAGUGUCUGACUCUGCUGUGUACUACUGUUUGAGCUCAUCCAAUGACAAAUUUCCCACGUGUGGACUAUAA
Maylandia zebra (zebra mbuna) is the source of this 388-nucleotide non-coding RNA. NCBI's taxonomy places the organism in Eukaryota, Metazoa, Chordata, Actinopteri, Cichliformes, Cichlidae. The record is from the annotation of a RefSeq genome assembly.